AUCGCUUCUUGGCCUUCUGGCUAAGAUCAAGUGUAGUAUCUGUUCUUAGCAGUUUAAAAACGAAUGGAUAAAAGACACUACCAUAAACUGAAAUGUCUGGGAAGUGUAAGUUGAGUAAAGGCAGGAGAUGUAUCUUCUCUUUGCUUCUGUCUACUUUUCCUCUCCGCAGAGAAUAUGGGAGGACCAUAC
Nannospalax galili (Upper Galilee mountains blind mole rat) is the source of this 189-nucleotide small nuclear RNA. RefSeq annotates it as U2 spliceosomal RNA. NCBI's taxonomy places the organism in Eukaryota, Metazoa, Chordata, Mammalia, Rodentia, Spalacidae. The record is from RefSeq and is a predicted model, not a curated record. The transcript has a single exon.